Molecule: transfer-messenger RNA, 374 nt
Filed under: Pyrinomonadaceae
Lineage: Bacteria; Pseudomonadati; Acidobacteriota; Blastocatellia; Blastocatellales
Also listed under: 1 other name
Description: OLB17 sp016789145 Standard tmRNA
Rfam family: transfer-messenger RNA
About the family: Bacterial tmRNA, also known as 10Sa RNA or SsrA, is named for its dual tRNA and mRNA-like properties. Its role is to liberate the mRNA from a stalled ribosome. To accomplish this part of the tmRNA is used as a reading frame that ends in a translation stop signal.
Source: RNAcentral
GGGGGCGACAGGCUUCGACAGGGGCUUGUAUAGAUCUUUGAGUGCACGUCGGGCUUGCUUGGGUUAGCUCGUUAAAAAAACCUUAGCGAAAAACAAAUGCUAAUCAAGAAUUAGCUCUUGCUGCUUAGUUAACUCUAAACCAGAAGUGUCUUACGGGAAGUCAGCCUGAUGCGACCCGCUAAGGCAUAACUCAGUUCAGGCUCGGAUGCGUUCUCCACCUGCGGACGCAACUUAAAUUUAGCCGGGUUAGCUUGAGAGAAGGUCUUGUCUGUUCAUCUGCUUUUCUCGAGUGAAACUUAAGUGAAUAGACUAAACGUGUAGAUCUCACUGGUCGCAACCUUUGGAUGCGGGUUCGAUUCCCGCCGCCUCCACCA